Molecule: ribosomal RNA, 840 nt
Filed under: Triticum aestivum (bread wheat)
Lineage: Eukaryota; Viridiplantae; Streptophyta; Magnoliopsida; Poales; Poaceae
Description: partial small subunit ribosomal RNA
Source: RNAcentral
AUGGGUGUCUCAGGUGCUGUGCAAUGGUGGGAGGAGUGGCAGCUGCGUAUCCUCGUCCUUGCUAGCCUGGGGAUUCAGUACAUCCUUCUGGUUGCUUCGACCGCACGUAAGUUCCCUAUCAGAUCCUGGUUUAGACCUGUCAUCUGGCUCGCAUACCUUGGCAGUGAUGCCAUUGCAAUCUAUGGGCUUGCCACCCUCUUCAACCGCCAGAAGAAGCAGGAUGGACACGGUGUUCUGGAGGUGUUGUGGGCUCCUAUUCUCCUGAUACACCUCGGUGGACAGGAUGGCAUAACCGCCUACAACAUCCAAGACAACGAGUUGUGGACGCAGCACAUCCUCACCGCGCUGUCUCAGGUCACCGUGGCCAUCUACGUCUUCUGCAAAUCAUUUCCAAGCAGUGAUAGGAGGCUGCUCCAGGCAGCAAUAUUGCUCUUCAUCCCUGGUAUCCUUAAAUGCUUCGAGAAGCCCUGGGCUCUCAAUAGAGCUAGCAUUAAUAGCCUUGUCAGCUCCGGUGAGCCUAUUCGGGGGCCAACAGAUAUGCUGGUAGACCGCACUCCUUUUAACCUAUUUGUGGACCUUACAUCUCCUUGUACGGAUGAUCGGAUCAGGAUGCGACAGCUCUUCUUAGCAGUUGAUGAAAAGUAUGUCUAUCGUAUGCUGCACAGUUGGCUCUCUGAUACCUUCCAACUCCUCUACACCAAAGAAAAGAUGUUCUCCCGCAGCAAAAUAUUUCAAUCCUCACCUGGUUACAUUUGCAGUGCUCUUCUCCGUCAAUUAGCUAUGUACCUUCCAUAUGCAGCCAUAGCCCUCUUCCACCAGUCACAGAGAAGCUUACAGUGA